RNAcentral lists this long non-coding RNA (1829 nucleotides) under Salmo salar (Atlantic salmon). RNAcentral describes it as "lncRNA (ENSSSAG00000110378.1)". The record is from RNAcentral. Lineage: Eukaryota; Metazoa; Chordata; Actinopteri; Salmoniformes; Salmonidae.
CUGGUCAGUCACCCAAUGCAUAGUUUCCCAAACUUGUUUUGGUUUGUGGCAUAGUGCUACACAGCGGAUUCAAGUUUGGGAAACCCUGAACUAGUGAGCGCACCAUUUUACAAUGGGGCCGCGGGCUGAACAUCAAUUUGUAAAUGCAGAUGUUUUUGUACUCAACAUAAAGGGGAAAAUGACUCCACGUUGCAUAAUGCGUGUGUUGUUUACAUGGAUAAAAGCAGCAUAAUGUUUAACUAACACUGGACAAAGAAAUAACCACAUGUACAAGCAUAGAAUACGAACGAAAAUCCAUCUACUUCACUAAAUUAACUGAAUAAUAUACCUCUUUCUUUGUCCUCUGCUUUAGAUGGUGACAGGUCAGCACAGUCGCCUGGGUCCGGUGGGUUGCGAGUUCGGCAGUUGGGGAUUUCGAAGCUGCGACAUUGUUGUUGAUGUCUGCAAGGCGCGUGGGGUUGUUUCUCUGCGUUUUUUGGCGCGGUUGUUGGUGUGUCCGCUGCAACCCUGACGUUGUUGAACGCAAUUUUCUCCCACCUUUCUUCAACAGUGCUUGCCUUGUUUUGCCUAGGCUUGCCCCGACGUGGUAGGAAGUCAAAACGGGUGGCUUAUUGUUUUCAAAGUUGUCCAGAUUUGGUUCUAUAUUUAUUAGUGAUUCGCCCAACAUGACUUCAAAGUGGAGAGGGUAGGACACAUCAACGAUACUAGCUAUUUUUAUUUUUGCGAAAGUGGACCCGGGAAGAGUUGCAGGGGAAAGAAGAGAACAAUGUGCCUAUUUGAAAGCUAGAAAAAAGUGAGUAGCUCACGACAUGUUUCAUUAGUAGCUCUCAUGCUAGAAAAGGUUGGAUACCUCUGGGCUACACUAUGUAGCUACUUCCAUCUCCUUAAUGUGGCAAGCGGGAGUGAAGGACACUAGUGUGCCCGGUGUUGUUGUGUUGCCUGCUUGCAGCGCAAACUCACCCCAUUGAGCAGUGUUUAUCUGCAGGCCUAUCACGGUGACAUCCAAAUUGUUACUACCAAUAUUACAAGUUAUUUAUCUGUAUUCUGUAUAGGCUUCUAUCCUACUCAAAAUAAAAUGAAUUGGGAUGGAACAAAUUGGAGAUGAUGUCCAAAUACAGAUGGUGACCAAUACUACAAGUUAUUUCUCCCUCGCCCAUAGAAAUAAACCUCACUUUAUUUUACAAGUUUUAACUGGCGCAUUUUCUUGCCAGCAUAAACUUGCUGGGAGGGCUCAUCAGGACGACUGACUGAACCGAAUACAUUCGUCUCCACACUUGACUCUCAGCUGCGCAACCAACAUAAUCGAUUUGGGCACCAGACAUGUCUGUAUAGCCCAGGGAUCAUCAACUAGAUCUAAGCGAGGUUUGAAAUGAUUGUUUUAGUCAAUUAUUAUAUAUGUUUGGACUUCUUGCGGUCAAUUUGAAGUCUACAAAUGAUUUGUAAUUAUGUAAUUAUGUUCCGGCCCCCUGACCAUCUGUCUAGUUGAUGAUCCCUGGGCUAUACGGACACGCCUGGAGUUUUUUCUUGGGCAGAUGGUCAGGGGGCCGGAACGUAAAUACAAAUAAUUCGUAGACUGCACAUUGACCGCAAGAACCCAAAACAUAUAUAAUACUCUGUCACUGUUUUGUUGACCCAUCCUCAGUUUUCUCAUAUCACAACCAUUAAACUCUGUAACUGUUUUAAAAUCACCAUUGCCCUCAUGGUGAAAUCCCUGGUUUUCUUCCUCUCCGGCAACUGAGUACGGAAGUAUACCUGUAUUUUUGUAGUUACUGGGUGUAUUGAUACACCAUCCAAAGCCUAAUUAAUAACUUCACCAUGCUCAAAGGGAU